This 253-nucleotide ribosomal RNA is filed under the name uncultured bacterium. Its description in RNAcentral is "partial 16S ribosomal RNA". It matches the Rfam family "Bacterial small subunit ribosomal RNA", at positions 524 to 776 of the family's 1533-position model. The record is from RNAcentral.
UACGGAGGGGGCCAGCGUUGCUCGGAAUCACUGGGCGUAAAGGGCUCGUAGGCGGUCUGAUAAGUCCUGUGUGAAAUCCCUUGGCUUAACCAAGGAACUGCGCCGGAUACUGUCGGACUGGAGGCCGGGAGAGGGAAGCGGAAUUCCGAGUGUAGCGGUGAAAUGCGUAGAUAUUCGGAGGAACACCGGUGGCGAAGGCGGCUUCCUGGACCGGUUCUGACGCUGAGGAGCGAAAGCUAGGGUAGCAAACAGG